Molecule: unclassified non-coding RNA, 17 nt
Filed under: Mus musculus (house mouse)
Lineage: Eukaryota; Metazoa; Chordata; Mammalia; Rodentia; Muridae
Description: oocyte_clustered_small_RNA9477
Source: RNAcentral
AUUAACCACCCUGGCGU